ACAUUGGAAAUAACAACAUAUUCCUAAAUUCAAUAUUUUUAUCUAGAUAUACAAUUCACUCAAAUAUGAGAACAUGAAUGAUCCCCAUUCUUGCUUUUUUGUUUGUAUAAAAUUGUUUAACAAAGAAAACCAGAUUUUUAGUUGAAAAGUAAUGUCAAAUACUGAAUGGAUUUUUGUAAGAUAUUAUAGUAUUAAGGAGUCCCGCUUCAAAAAUUACUUUUAAUUCACAAAACUUAAAGGAUUAAUUAACGCAUCAUUAUUGUUUUGGUAUGGAACCUCAAAUAUAUAGCUGCAAUCACAAACAUGAAAUGGUCCCAAAACAUUAACUCAACCAAUUAACACACAAAAUGGUAGAUUAAUUAACACACAAACGAAUACACUAACAAUAACAAAAAAUGGUACAAUAUAAUUUCUUAAUUAUACCAAAGAAUUAAC
Molecule: long non-coding RNA, 435 nt
Filed under: Mytilus galloprovincialis (Mediterranean mussel)
Lineage: Eukaryota; Metazoa; Mollusca; Bivalvia; Mytilida; Mytilidae
Source: RNAcentral